AUUGAACGCUGGCGGCAUGCCUUACACAUGCAAGUCGAACGGUAACGGGCCUUCGGGUGCCGACGAGUGGCGAACGGGUGAGUAAUGUAUCGGAACGUACCUUUCAGUGGGGGAUAACGUAGCGAAAGUUACGCUAAUACCGCAUAUUCUGUGAGCAGGAAAGCAGGGGAUCGCAAGACCUUGCGCUGAUUGAGCGGCCGAUAUCAGAUUAGCUAGUUGGUGAGGUAAAGGCUCACCAAGGCGACGAUCUGUAGCGGGUCUGAGAGGAUGAUCCGCCACACUGGAACUGAGACACGGUCCAGACUCCUACGGGAGGCAGCAGUGGGGAAUUUUGGACAAUGGGGGCAACCCUGAUCCAGCCAUGCCGCGUGAGGGAUGAGGGCCUUCGGGUUGUAAACCUCUUUCGCUGGGUUGAAGGCCAUGCUUUGGGUGUGGUUGAUUUGAACUGGUAAAGAAGUACCGGCUAACUACGUGCCAGCAGCCGCGGUAAA
This 491-nucleotide ribosomal RNA is filed under the name uncultured bacterium. RNAcentral's name for it is "bacterial SSU rRNA". It matches the Rfam family "Bacterial small subunit ribosomal RNA", at positions 30 to 524 of the family's 1533-position model. The record is from RNAcentral.